This 486-nucleotide ribosomal RNA is filed under the name uncultured bacterium. RNAcentral's name for it is "bacterial SSU rRNA". It matches the Rfam family "Bacterial small subunit ribosomal RNA", at positions 29 to 525 of the family's 1533-position model. The record is from RNAcentral.
ACGAACGCUGGCGGCGUGCUUAACACAUGCAAGUCGAACGGUGAUCCUUAGAGCUUGCUCUUUGGUGAGCAGUGGCGAACGGGUGAGUAACACGUGAGUAACCUGCCCUUGACUCUGGAAUAAGCGCUGGAAACGGCGUCUAAUACCGGAUAUGACAUUGCCUCGCAUGGGGUGGUGUGGAAAGUUUUUCGGUUGGGGAUGGACUCGCGGCCUAUCAGCUUGUUGGUGAGGUAAUGGCUUACCAAGGCGAUGACGGGUAGCCGGCCUGAGAGGGCGAUCGGCCACACUGGGACUGAGACACGGCCCAGACUCCUACGGGAGGCAGCAGUGGGGAAUAUUGCACAAUGGGCGCAAGCCUGAUGCAGCGACGCCGCGUGAGGGAUGACGGCCUUCGGGUUGUAAACCUCUUUCAGCUCUGAAGAAGCGAAAGUGACGGUAGGAGCAGAAGAAGCACCGGCUAACUACGUGCCAGCCGCCGCCGUAAAA